AAUCUUCCAGAGCUGAGCGCAUUUGUUCGCCACAAAACCAAGCGCCUUCGGGCGUCCAGUGUUGACUCAGAACAACUAAGCUGAUCGCACGGUCUUGUACCGGCGACGUGUCUUUCAAGUGUCUGCCUUAUCAACUUUCGAUGGUAGGUACCUGACUACCAUGGUUAUGACGGGUAACGGAGGAUAAGGGUUCGACUCCGGAGAAGGGGCCUGAGAAAUGGCCACUACGUCUAAGGAUGGCAGCAGGCGCGCAAAUUACCCACUCUCAACAUGAGGAGGUAGUGACGAGAAAUAACGAGACCGAUCUCUUAUGAGGCCGGUCAUCGGAAUGGGUACAAUUUAAACCCUUUAACGAGUAUCUAUGAGAGGGCAAGUCUGGUGCCAGCAGCCGCGGUAAUUCCAGCUCUCAAAAUGCAUAGAAUUAUUGCUGCGGUUAAAAAGCUCGUAGUUGGAUCUGUGCUAGCCGGGCGGUCCACCCACUGGGUGUGCACUGGUUCGGUUGGCUUUUCUGCCGGUCUCUCCCCGGCGUUGGCCUUCACUGGUCGGCGUCGGUGGGCUGGCGAGUUUACUUUGAACAAAGCAGA
This 584-nucleotide ribosomal RNA is filed under the name Globodera pallida. Its description in RNAcentral is "SSU rRNA". It matches the Rfam family "Eukaryotic small subunit ribosomal RNA", at positions 185 to 770 of the family's 1831-position model. Lineage: Eukaryota; Metazoa; Nematoda; Chromadorea; Rhabditida; Heteroderidae. The record is from RNAcentral.